UGUGAAAUGUUGGGUUAAGUCCCGCAACGAGCGCAACCCUUAUCCUUGUUUGCCAGCGAGUAAUGUCGGGAACUCCAGGGAGACUGCCGGUGAUAAACCGGAGGAAGGUGGGGACGACGUCAAGUCAUCAUGGCCCUUACGAGUAGGGCUACACACGUGCUACAAUGGCGCAUACAGAGGGCGGCCAACUUGCGAAAGUGAGCGAAUCCCAAAAAGUGCGUCGUAGUCCGGAUUGGAGUCUGCAACUCGACUCCAUGAAGUCGGAAUCGCUAGUAAUCGUGGAUCAGAAUGCCACGGUGAAUACGUUCCCGGGCCUUGUACACACCGCCCGUCACACCAUGGGAGUGGGCUGCAAAAGAAGUAGGUAGUUUAACCUUCGGGGGGACGCUUACCACUUUGUGGUUCAUGACUGGGGUGAAGUCGUAACAAGGUAGCGCUAGGGGAACCUGGCGCUGGAUCACCUCCUUAAACGAUGAU
This 477-nucleotide ribosomal RNA is filed under the name Vibrio parahaemolyticus. RNAcentral describes it as "bacterial SSU rRNA". It matches the Rfam family "Bacterial small subunit ribosomal RNA", at positions 1066 to 1533 of the family's 1533-position model. The record is from RNAcentral. Lineage: Bacteria; Pseudomonadati; Pseudomonadota; Gammaproteobacteria; Vibrionales; Vibrionaceae.